Molecule: non-coding RNA, 213 nt
Filed under: Geosporobacter subterraneus
Lineage: Bacteria; Bacillati; Bacillota; Clostridia; Peptostreptococcales; Thermotaleaceae
Description: T-box sequence
Rfam family: T-box leader
About the family: Uncharged tRNA acts as the effector for transcription antitermination of genes in the T-box leader family. T-boxes are found upstream of many aminoacyl-tRNA synthetase genes and some amino acid biosynthetic genes usually in Gram-positive bacteria.
Source: RNAcentral
CGAAAGACAUGGAACAGGAGAGUAAGUAAAAAGAGCCUGACAGAGAAAAGCUAUCAUUGGCUGAGAGUAGCUUGAGGGGAUAUUUUACUGAAGUGCACCUGGGAGUUGCUGCCCGAAGGAUCAGUAGGCACGGCCGGUUUGCACCGUUAUAUGCAGUUAAGCUGAGGCAUUAGCCUAAGCAGAGUGGAACCGCGGAUUAUCUUCGUCUCUGUA